Molecule: transfer RNA, 82 nt
Filed under: Penaeus vannamei (Pacific white shrimp)
Lineage: Eukaryota; Metazoa; Arthropoda; Malacostraca; Decapoda; Penaeidae
Description: Litopenaeus vannamei (Pacific white shrimp) tRNA
Rfam family: tRNA
About the family: Transfer RNA (tRNA) molecules are approximately 80 nucleotides in length. Their secondary structure includes four short double-helical elements and three loops (D, anti-codon, and T loops). Further hydrogen bonds mediate the characteristic L-shaped molecular structure. tRNAs have two regions of fundamental functional importance: the anti-codon, which is responsible for specific mRNA codon recognition, and the 3' end, to which the tRNAs corresponding amino acid is attached (by aminoacyl-tRNA synthetases). tRNAs cope with the degeneracy of the genetic code in two manners: having more than one tRNA (with a specific anti-codon) for a particular amino acid; and 'wobble' base-pairing, i.e. permitting non-standard base-pairing at the 3rd anti-codon position.
Source: Rfam by way of RNAcentral
GCAAUGAUGGCCGAGUGGUUAAGACGUCUGACUAGAAAUCAGAUGGGAUCUUCCCGCGUAGGUUCGAAUCCUACUCACUGCG